This 468-nucleotide ribosomal RNA is filed under the name uncultured bacterium. Its description in RNAcentral is "partial 16S ribosomal RNA". It matches the Rfam family "Bacterial small subunit ribosomal RNA", at positions 28 to 507 of the family's 1533-position model. The record is from RNAcentral.
GACGAACGCUGGCGGCGUGCUUAACACAUGCAAGUCGAACGGAAAGGCCCUGCUUUUGUGGGGUGCUCGAGUGGCGAACGGGUGAGUAACACGUGAGUAACCUGCCCUUGACUUUGGGAUAACUUCAGGAAACUGGGGCUAAUAUCGGAUAGGAGCUCCUGCUGCAUGGUGGGGGUUGGAAAGUUUCGGCGGUUGGGGAUGGACUCGCGGCUUAUCAGCUUGGUGGUGGGGUAGUGUCUUACCAAGGCUUUGACGGGUAGCCGGCCUGAGAGGGUGACCGGCCACAUUGGGACUGAGAUGCGGCCCAGACUCCUACGGGAGGCAGCGGUGGGGAAGAUUGCACAAUGGGCGGAAGCCUGAUGCAGCAACGCCGCGUGCGGGAUGACGGCCUUCGUGUUGUAAACCGCUUUCGCCUGUGACGAAGCGUGAGUGACGGUAAUGGGUAAAGAAGCACCGGCUAACUACGUG